Molecule: transfer RNA, 73 nt
Filed under: Paracoccaceae bacterium
Lineage: Bacteria; Pseudomonadati; Pseudomonadota; Alphaproteobacteria; Rhodobacterales; Paracoccaceae
Description: Rhodobacteraceae bacterium (marine metagenome) tRNA-OTHER
Source: RNAcentral
GCGGAUGAAUUCAAGGUGAAUCGCUGCCCUUCCAAGGCAUGCUGAUAGAGUUCGAUUCUCUACAUCCGCUCCA